Molecule: ribosomal RNA, 507 nt
Filed under: uncultured bacterium
Lineage: Bacteria
Description: partial 16S ribosomal RNA
Source: RNAcentral
GGAGUUAGCCGGUGCUUCUUCUGUGAGUGAUGUCCUUCCUGCCGGCUAUUAACCCGCAGGCCUUCUUCCUCACUGAAAGUGCUUUACAACCCGAAGGCCUUCUUCACACACGCGGCAUGGCUGGAUCAGGGUUGCCCCCAUUGUCCAAUAUUCCCCACUGCUGCCUCCCGUAGGAGUCUGGGCCGUGUCUCAGUCCCAGUGUGGCUGAUCAUCCUCUCAGACCAGCUACGGAUCGUCGCCUUGGUGAGCCGUUACCUCACCAACCAGCUAAUCCGACAUAGGCUCAUCCGAUAGCGCGAGGCCCGAAGGUCCCCCGCUUUCCCCCGUAGGGCGUAUGCGGUAUUAGCCUGGGUUUCCCCAGGUUAUCCCCCACUACCGGGCAGAUUCCUAUGCAUUACUCACCCGUCCGCCGCUCGCCACCAGGGAGCAAGCUCCCCGUGCUGCCGCUCGACUUGCAUGUGUUAGGCCUGCCACCAGCGUUCAAUCUGAGCCAGAAUCAAACUCUGA